Xenopus tropicalis (tropical clawed frog) is the source of this 1132-nucleotide long non-coding RNA. RefSeq lists it as uncharacterized. NCBI's taxonomy places the organism in Eukaryota, Metazoa, Chordata, Amphibia, Anura, Pipidae. The transcript has 3 exons. The record is from RefSeq and is a predicted model, not a curated record.
GGAGCUGCUGGUUAGCCACUGGAGUCUGUGCAGGGCAUGGUGGGCUGUGCGGCUUGCUCACAGUGUUGCCUGUUGCUCCUAUUUCUAUCCGGUGGGGGAGAAACAUUUGAGUUUAGGUUGCUGGCCAUGACCCUUUGCUCUAGACUAGAGCCAAAGUUCUUAUUAGUAAGACGUCAAAUACAUUUCAUUCUCAGAGCGCCGACUUGCGUCGUAAGAAAUUCAUCAUUCAAUUUGAGUUUUUGUGCAAGAUACUUCAUUUGGCGCCAGUCCUCCCAAUUCCCUCUUCUCCACCUCUAAAAUUAAAAGGGAAUUUGGGUGCUGAUUAUUCAGCCAGAUAACAUUUUUUGAAUUGUGCUUGUGUUUUAAAUUAAUAGAGUUUAUAACAUUCCCUGUGGGAUCAGUAACAAUGAUCAUGAAGCCACCUGCGGGACAUGAUUGCAUAAAGAGCAGUUCUGAGCAGCCAAACGAUUAGACAUUCAGCAAUGAACAGGAGAAGAAAGUCAUCAAAAAUUUUUUUUGGUCCAGCUCCAACACUGACAUGGGACAGAUGGAGAAAAGCAUUAAAGCCAUAAAAGAAAAUUGGAAAAUCCAGUUUAAUAAUGACACAUCUGCCACCUGUUUCUUGUAAUGUGAGUUGGUGAAGACAUUCUUCUAAGAAAUUCUUCUGACAGAACAACAACAAAUCUCAGGAGCUACCUGGAAGAAGAAAAAAACUGAAGAUGGAACCAGGACAGCCAUCGGGGGGCGGGAUGGGGGAACAACUUUAGGGGCCCCAGUUGUUAUAUGUCUACUGGGCCCCAUUUGAAAAUGUUGGUUAAGAUGGCUGCCCUCCAUGGAAUAUCCUUGAACCAAUUCAUCCAUUUCCCAGAUAAGUCAAAUGUUCUCUUCUUGAUAAACAUCUGUCUAUAAGUACUUUGGGACAAAGGAAAGAAAUGCGGAAUUCAGAAGAGCACAGUAGGCAGUAUGUGAGUGCAUCUGAUGCUAAAUCAGGUGUUUACACUGCAUCUGAGAAAGGGAGUGCUUUAGAAGACUGACAAAAAUAUGACUGUCAUUUUUUCUCUUUGAUUUGACAAAAUUGUAUUUGUCUUUUUAAAUUAGCUAAAUUAAUCCAAAUAAAUAUGAAUUAAAAAGA